Molecule: transfer RNA, 100 nt
Filed under: Lucilia cuprina (Australian sheep blowfly)
Lineage: Eukaryota; Metazoa; Arthropoda; Insecta; Diptera; Calliphoridae
Rfam family: tRNA
About the family: Transfer RNA (tRNA) molecules are approximately 80 nucleotides in length. Their secondary structure includes four short double-helical elements and three loops (D, anti-codon, and T loops). Further hydrogen bonds mediate the characteristic L-shaped molecular structure. tRNAs have two regions of fundamental functional importance: the anti-codon, which is responsible for specific mRNA codon recognition, and the 3' end, to which the tRNAs corresponding amino acid is attached (by aminoacyl-tRNA synthetases). tRNAs cope with the degeneracy of the genetic code in two manners: having more than one tRNA (with a specific anti-codon) for a particular amino acid; and 'wobble' base-pairing, i.e. permitting non-standard base-pairing at the 3rd anti-codon position.
Source: Rfam by way of RNAcentral
CCUUCGAUAGCUCAGUUGGUAGAGCGGUGGACUGUAGUGUUUGAAACAUUGAGUUUGUGUAGAAAUCCAUAGGUCGCUGGUUCAAAUCCGGCUCGAAGGA